UAAGGAAUAUUGGACAAUGGAGGCAACUCUGAUCCAGCCAUGCCGCGUGCAGGAAGAAGGCGCUAUGCGUUGUAAACUGCUUUUGUACCAGAGAAAAUCACUGUACGUGUACGGUGUUGAUAGUAUGGUAAGAAUAAGCAUCGGCUAACUUCGUGCCAGCAGCCGCGGUAAUACGAAGGAUGCGAGCGUUAUCCGGAUUUAUUGGGUUUAAAGGGAGCGUAGGCGGUCUUAUAAGUCAGUGGUGAAAUCUCGUUGCUUAACAACGACCGUGCCAUUGAUACUGUAGGACUUGAGUACAGUUGCCGUUGGCGGAAUGUGUCAUGUAGCGGUGAAAUGCAUAGAUAUGACACAGAACACCGAUUGCGAAGGCAGCUGACGAAACUGUAACUGACGCUGAGGCUCGAAAGCGUGGGGAUCAAACAGG
RNAcentral lists this ribosomal RNA (424 nucleotides) under uncultured bacterium. RNAcentral's name for it is "bacterial SSU rRNA". It matches the Rfam family "Bacterial small subunit ribosomal RNA", at positions 355 to 776 of the family's 1533-position model. RNAcentral also lists the same sequence under 1 other name. The record is from RNAcentral.